UACGGAGGGGGCAAGCGUUGUUCGGAAUUACUGGGCGUAAAGGGCUUGUAGGUGGCCAACUAAGUCAGACGUGAAAUCCCUCGGCUUAACCGGGGAACUGCGUCUGAUACUGGAUGGCUUGAGUUUGGGAGAGGGAUGCGGAAUUCCAGGUGUAGCGGUGAAAUGCGUAGAUAUCGUGAGGAACACCGGUGGCGAAAGCGGCUCACUGGAUCGAGUCUGACACUGAGGUGCGAAAGCUAGGGUAGCAAACGGG
This 253-nucleotide ribosomal RNA is filed under the name uncultured bacterium. RNAcentral's name for it is "partial 16S ribosomal RNA". It matches the Rfam family "Bacterial small subunit ribosomal RNA", at positions 524 to 776 of the family's 1533-position model. The record is from RNAcentral.